Hemicordylus capensis (graceful crag lizard) is the source of this 586-nucleotide long non-coding RNA. RefSeq lists it as uncharacterized. The record is from RefSeq and is a predicted model, not a curated record. Lineage: Eukaryota; Metazoa; Chordata; Lepidosauria; Squamata; Cordylidae. The transcript is spliced from 3 exons.
GGAGAUAGAAGGGGGGAAAGGAUUGAUUUAAGGAGGCACUUUGGUGGAUCCUCAGAGAAUAAAAGAGGUCCUCUUCUCUACAGACAAAGCCAUCAGCCAUCAGACCAGGGAAGGACAAGCACAAGCACGAAUAGGAGGCCUGCCACACAUGGGCCUUAAAAGACUUCAGUGCUGCAGGAAACUUCACACUGCUACUGUGUACCAUCUGGGACAUGCAAGCUGUUGGACUGAGGACUGUUGGACAAAAAGAUUGGAGAGGUGGACUUGCCUUCCUGCUACAUCACCUCCUGUGUUCUCCCAAACCCCAGGAAACAGAUAUUGGAACAAUCUCUGCCAACCACAUUGAUUCAACCUGUACAAUUCUGCCAAGGGGGAGACAGAGCUUCUUUGCCUAGGGCAAAAUAUGAGUGUUCUUGCUGCUAAGGCUUACUGGUCCCAGUAGUGGCAUAAAGAGGAGAAGUGCAUCCAUACAACCGGAAAAGCAAGGUAGGAGAGCUCUCUUUUCCUCCUACCUUGGUUAAAAGCAGCAUACAAAAACUGGGCUGCCUGGCUUUGAGGAACCUGGGAUUUUUGUUUGUUCACACAA